Molecule: non-coding RNA, 21 nt
Filed under: Caenorhabditis elegans
Lineage: Eukaryota; Metazoa; Nematoda; Chromadorea; Rhabditida; Rhabditidae
Source: RNAcentral
UGCGCUACAUUUCAUGUUCAA